RNAcentral lists this ribosomal RNA (305 nucleotides) under uncultured bacterium. RNAcentral's name for it is "bacterial SSU rRNA". It matches the Rfam family "Bacterial small subunit ribosomal RNA", at positions 333 to 656 of the family's 1533-position model. The record is from RNAcentral.
UAUUUCCUACGGGGCGCAGCAGUGGGGAAUAUUGCACAAUGGGGGAAACCCUGAUGCAGCGACGCCGCGUGAGUGAAGAAGUAUCUCGGUACGUAAAGCUCUAUCAGCAGGGAAGAAAAUGACGGUACCUGACCAAGAAGCCCCGGCUAACUACGUGCCAGCAGCCGCGGUAAUACGUAGGUGGCGAGCGUUAUCCGGAAUGAUUGGGCGUAAAGGGUGCGUAGGCGGCCUGCUAAGUCUGGAGUGAAAGGUACCGGCUCAACCGGUACAGGCUCUGGAAACUGGCGGGCUAGAGAGCAGGAGAG